This is a non-coding RNA of Chiloscyllium plagiosum (whitespotted bambooshark), 833 nucleotides long. The record is from RefSeq and is a predicted model, not a curated record. NCBI's taxonomy places the organism in Eukaryota, Metazoa, Chordata, Chondrichthyes, Orectolobiformes, Hemiscylliidae.
UUGGUUUCAGAUUCCAGCAUCCGCAGUAAUUUGCUGUGAGCACAAAGUCACUGCAGAGUGAGUGCAUUCGAAGAACAAGGGAGCAGCCUGGCAUGGACCUGGUCUAAUCCCUGAGCUACAGAGUGUACCCGGGACUAGAAAUAAAUUAUUGAAGAAAACAGCAUUGGCCUCUUGGAAUCAAUUGUAGCAUUUAGCAUCCAGUGUUUAAGCAGCGACUUUACGAUGGACAAACACUGACAACACUACCAUUACCAAAUUGGGAAAGCCUUCAGCCACUGACAGCUCCAGAUAUUUUCCAGGCAACAUUGUGAACUGCUGCUAUUUGGAGGGAAAUGUUCCAUCUCCUAAUAAUCUUCCCCCAGGCCGACAUCCUCAGCCCUGGGACACUAGUUACCGUCAGCGCAGGCCACAUCAUCCGCAUGGGACACAGCCUUCCAGAAUAAGCUCUCUACUCCAAGCUCUGUUACAACGAGCCACGAGGACAGCUUACCAAAAGGGCACUUCAGGGACAUCUUCAAAGCCUUGCUCAAGUGUAACAUCCCCGUCAGCUUGUGGGAAUCUCUUGACCUAGAUCCAUCUGAACUGGAGAAGGAGUAUCCAUGAAGGUAACAACAAGAUCUCCAACAGGACCAGAUGGAGGAAAAAAGCAAACUGUGGAAACAGCAAGUGAAAUCUCAAGGCUUCCCAACACCCCCCCGAUCAAACACCUUCUGCCCACCGCCUGCGGGGUAUGUGUGAUCCCGUGUUUAACUGGUUCAGGUCCACAAACAGAUUCAAGAACAGCUUCUUCCCAGCUGUUAUCAAGACUUUUGACGGACCUCUCAAAUGUUAUU